This 429-nucleotide ribosomal RNA is filed under the name Gemmatimonadota bacterium. RNAcentral describes it as "Gemmatimonadetes bacterium partial 16S ribosomal RNA". It matches the Rfam family "Bacterial small subunit ribosomal RNA", at positions 355 to 776 of the family's 1533-position model. Lineage: Bacteria; Pseudomonadati; Gemmatimonadota. The record is from RNAcentral.
UAGGGAAUCUUCGGCAAUGGACGAAAGUCUGACCGAGCAACGCCGCGUGAGUGAAGAAGGUUUUCGGAUCGUAAAACUCUGUUGUUAGAGAAGAACAAGGACGUUAGUAACUGAACGUCCCCUGACGGUAUCUAACCAGAAAGCCACGGCUAACUACGUGCCAGCAGCCGCGGUAAUACGUAGGUGGCAAGCGUUGUCCGGAUUUAUUGGGCGUAAAGCGAGCGCAUGCGGUUUCUUAAGUCUGAUGUGAAAGCCCCCGGCUCAACCGGGGAGGGUCAUUGGAAACUGGGAGACUUGAGUGCAGAAGAGGAGAGUGGAAUUCCAUGUGUAGCGGUGAAAUGCGUAGAUAUAUGGAGGAACACCAGUGGCGAAGGCGGCUCUCUGGUCUGUAACUGACGCUGAGGCUCGAAAGCGUGGGGAGCAAACAGG